UAACACAUGCAAGUCGAGCGAGACCUUCGGGUCUAGCGGCGGACGGGUUAGUAACGCGUGGGAACGUGCCCUUCUCUGCGGUAUAGCCACUGGAAACGGUGAGUAAUACCGCAUACGCCCUUCGGGGGAAAGAUUUAUCGGAGAAGGAUCGGCCCGCGUUAGAUUAGAUAGUUGGUGGGGUAACGGCCUACCAAGUCUACGAUCUAUAGCUGGUUUUAGAGGAUGAUCAGCAACACUGGGACUGAGACACGGCCCAGACUCCUACGGGAGGCAGCAGUGGGGAAUCUUAGACAAUGGGCGCUAGCCUGAUCUAGCCAUGCCGCGUGUGUGAUGAAGGUCUCAGGAUCGUAAAGCACUUUCGCCAGGGAUGAUAAUGACAGUACCUGGUAAAGAAACCCCGGCUAACUCCGUGCCAGCAGCCGCGGUAAUACGGAGGGGGUUAGCGUUGUUCGGAAUUACUGGGCGUAAAGCGUACGUAGGCGGAUCAGAAAGUUGGGGGUGAAAUCCCGGGGCUCAACCCCGGAACUGCCUCCAAAACUCCUGGUCUUGAGUUCGAGAGAGGUGAGUGGAAUUCCAAGUGUAGAGGUGAAAUUCGUAGAUAUUUGGAGGAACACCAGUGGCGAAGGCGGCUCACUGGCUCGAUACUGACGCUGAGGUACGAAAGUGUGGGGAGCAAACAGGAUUAGAUACCCUGGUAGUCCACACCGUAAACGAUGAAUGCCAGUCGUCGGGCAGUAUACUGUUCGGUGACACACCUAACGGAUUAAGCAUUCCGCCUGGGGAGUACGGUCGCAAGAUUAAAACUCAAAGGAAUUGACGGGGGCCCGCACAAGCGGUAGCUUGUUUAAUUCGAAGCAACGCGCAGAACCUUACCAACCCUUGACAUCCUGUGCUAACCCGAGAGAUCGGGCGUUCACUUCGGUGACGCAGUGACAGGUGCUGCAUGGCUGUCGUCAGCUCGUGUCGUGAGAUGUCCCGGUUAAGUCCGGCAACGAGCGCAACCCACAUCCUUAGUUGCCAGCAGUUCGGCUGGGCACUCUAAGGAAACUGCCCGUGAUAAGCGGGAGGAAGGUGUGGAUGACGUCAAGUCCUCAUGGCCCUUACGGGUUGGGCUACACACGUGCUACAAUGGCAGUGACAAUGGGUUAAUCCCCAAAAGCUGUCUCAGUUCGGAUUGGGGUCUGCAACUCGACCCCAUGAAGUCGGAAUCGCUAGUAAUCGUGGAACAGCGUGCCACGGUGAAUACGUUCCCGGGCCUUGUACACACCGCCCGUCACACCAUGGGAGUUGGUUCUACCCGACGGCCGUGCGCCAACCUUUCGAGGAGGCAGCGGACCACGGUAGGAUCAGCGACUGGGGUG
This 1361-nucleotide ribosomal RNA is filed under the name uncultured Roseobacter sp. RNAcentral describes it as "bacterial SSU rRNA". It matches the Rfam family "Bacterial small subunit ribosomal RNA". Lineage: Bacteria; Pseudomonadati; Pseudomonadota; Alphaproteobacteria; Rhodobacterales; Roseobacteraceae. The record is from RNAcentral.